GCCAUCUUAAUAUUCUCCUGAACUUUAACAGAUGUCUGGCUGCCUGUUUUAUUCCAAAGUCGUUUCUUGGACCUCGCUCAUCAAGAUUCUACUUUUUUGUCCGUGACUCCAGCAGGUACCUCACUUCAUUAAUUUGUAAAUUGAAGCAGUUUGGUCAGGUAACGGCCGGUGUGUCCAAUGGUAGAGAAGAACUGAGAGAAGAAAAGAGACGCUCUCCUCAGCUAGUCAGAGGACUGGACUUUAGUUGACUUCUUGCUGAUGAAAUUUUCCAUAGAGUUCGUUAUUUACAUUUGUUGAUAAUGUUAAGACGUUAGCCAAGGUAAUGUUACCAGAUAAACCUUAAAUUUAAACCGUGUACGUUAGAGCGCCCGCGUCUCUCUCGCUCUCUCUGUGUGUGUUAGCUAUGUCCGUUAGCUAGGUGUGUAUGUAUGUGUGUGCUCGCGUGCGCGUGUACGAGCUAAGUGUGUUAGCUGCGCCAGUCAGUGUGUGUGUGUGUGUGUGCGCGCGUGUACGAGCUAAGUGUGUUAGCUCCGUCAGUCAGUGUGUGUUUGUGUGUGUGUUAGCUCCGUUCGUUAGCUAGGUGUGUGAGCGUGUGUGUAUGUGUUAGCUCCGUCAGUCAGUGUGUGUGUGUGUUAGCUCCGUUAGUGUGUGUGUGUGUGUGUGUGUGUGUGUGUGUGUGUGUGUGCGUGCGCGCGUGUACGAGCUAGGUGUGUUAGCUCCGUCAGUCAGUGUGUUUGUGUGUGUUAGCUCCGUUAGUUAGUGUGUGUGUAUGUGUUAGCGCCGUCAGUGUGUGUGUGUGUUAGCUCUGUCAGUUAGUGUGCGAGCUCGGUGUGCUAGCUUUGUCCGUUAGCUAGGUCUGUCAGCUACGUCUAUUGGCUAGGUGUGCUAGCUUCGUCUGUUAGCUAGGUCUGUUAGCUACGUCUAUUGGCUGGGUGUGCUAGCUUCGUCUGUUAGCUAGGUCUGUCAGCUACGUCUAUUGGCUAGGUGUGCUAGCUUCGUCUGUUAACUACGUCUAUUGGCUGGGUGUGCUAGCUUCGUCCGUUAGCUAGGUCUGUUAGCUAUGUCUAUUGGCUGGGUGUGCUAGCUUUGUCCGUUCGCGAGGUCUGUUAACUACGUCUAUUGGCUGGGUGUGCUAGCUUCGUCCGUUAGCUAGGUCUGUUAGCUAUGUCUAUUGGCUGGGUGUGCUAGCUUUGUCCGUUCGCGAGGUCUGUUAACUACGUCUAUUGGCUGGGUGUGCUAGCUUCGUCCGUUAGCUACGUCUAUUGGCUGGGUGUGUUAGCUUCGUCCGUUAGCUAGUUCUGUUAGGUACGUCUAUUGGCUAGGUCUGUUAGCUCGGUCUGUUUGGUAAAGUUUAUCUCUCGUUUUUCUGCUGUUAGCAGUCUGCGCGAAUGGGCACAAUUUAUUACUGGACCGUGGACCAGUAAACAGUAAUUUUUUACUGGACCGAAUAUUUUAUGCACAAAUGUACCAAAAGUUGAUGUAUAAUUUAAUUUUUAUAAUUGUUAUACAAAUUUACUACUUUAUUAAUUAUGUUUGCAGGUAUGUAUAAAACCAUGGGCGAAGAGAAAUUACCGUUUUUAUAUAGAAUAAACCAUACAAAAUUAACUAAUGGAUAAAGAAAAGCACUCAUUUGAGAUCAAAACAUAAAUCAUGUACUCAACCAUGCUAGAAGUACUAUAAAUCACAGAGCAAUGUGGCUGGGUCAAGCAGAGCGACCUUGUAGAAGUGAAAUGAGGUGUGGUUUAUUUAUUUUCUGUUUAUAUCAUGCGUUUUUAUCGCGUGAUAUCGCUGUUCACACGAGAGCCUCUCUGAGGAGCAGCCCUCCCCAUCCGGACGAUGCGCCGCUGCGCUGCACUUGCUGUGUGCUUUGACUUUCGGAGCAAGACGGCGGCGCUUCGUUCCAUUGCGCGGCGCAGCGCGAUCGCAUUAUGUGGAACUUCGGGGUUACAGGAAAAAAAAUUACACCGGACAUGAGACCGGUAAUGUAAGUUUUACCGGACUUUUGGUACACAAAUCGGAUUUGACCGAUGGUCUGACGUCAUUGGCGCACACUGUGUUAGCUGCUGAGACGAAUCUGAUGACCGAAGCAGGCCAGACAAACAACACAUUGAAAGAUUUCUGUCAGGAUAAAUCCAGAGCAGAGAAGUGUGCCUAAAAGGUUCAAGCAGAAGUUACUGGUACUGGGGAGAUGGUCCUAUGAGAAAAUAAGUCCCUCAGUCCACAUGUGGAAGCAUUCAGCUGGGACAGAACAGAUAAUACCAGAUGUUGACUCUAGCCCAGGAAGAGGAUUCCAUCCCAGAAAGAAAUCUCCAAUUCAGGAUGAGGAAUGUACUUCAACAGCCCAGUCCAGGAUUAAUAAAAACUGCUCCUCAACUGUUUCCUGGAGAUCAAAUGACUACAUCUAACUACAGCUGUGUGGUUUCCUGCCUUCAACUCAUGCCCUGAUGCUGCUCAGCUGAAGACACAUUUACUAACUGUUCUGGACAGACUGAUCAGAGACACGCUGCUGCUGCAGUUGUUGUUCCAGCACUGAAAGAAGAACGCUGUCAGCUGAUCAGCAUGUUUUCACUGAUUAGGAUCAAACUCUGUCAGGUGUGAUCAGUGAACUGGAGCUCUGCAGAGUGAACCAAAGUUGUGAUGCAGUGAGACAUCCAGAGCUGUUCACCAUCUUUAUGGGCAUGAAGUUCAGCUAUCUCACCACAAACAGUCGCUGUGUGGCCUCACAGUCCACUUAUCUCUGAGCUCAGCUGCUGCUUAUCACCCUUCAACCAUCAAACACUCAUCCACACAACACACACAUGUGACAUUUAGGCUCACUGAGCUUCACUGAACAUCCAUCCAACUUCCUGUCCUCAGACCACGUUAGUGUUCCACUUCAUGGAGCUCACUUUAACUGCUUUUAGUUACACCGGCUGCUUUUAUUCAGACUAACACUUCUGAAUCACAACCAGAUCACGUUUUGUUCUUCAUCAUGAACUCAAACAUCAAAGCAGUAAAAGGUUCAGCACUUCUUUGAGAACGCAGCAGGAGAUGAUGGUAAAGUACAAGCAGCUCAACACUGCACAGUACUCCAGUAAAAGUACUCAGUUACUCCCUGAAGCUGACACCUGUGGAGACAUGUCAGCUUCAUGGUGUCCACUAACCAACUAAAAUAAUCCAUCAUGCAUGUUCUCAUAUGAGGAGAAUGAGAAGAAAACACAAAUUCAACAUGUUUGAAGAAGUUAAAACUUAUUUAAUCCCACCCCUAAAGUCAAUCACCCAUUUCAAUCAGUUCCAUGAAAAAUAUUCAAUGAAAAACAAAUUCACCGCCAAUAAUUUCACUGAGGCAAAAAUUUAAUGGUUUUUCUUUAUUUUCAUGACUAUCUACAUUCUAGUUUCUCACUGAAGGCAUCAAAACUAUCAAUGAACACAUGGAAUUAUGUAGGUAACAAAAAAAUGUGAAAUAAAUCAAAACAUGUUUUAUAUUUUCGAUUCUUCAAAACAGCCACCCUUUGCUUUGAUUACUGCUCUGCACAGUGAAAGCUAAACAGGAAGUGGUUCACUGAGGAUGUCAUCCAUUCAAUCUCCUUCACAAGCAGAUGAGGUUUUCCUUCUGUUGGCUUCACUCAGAAGAUCCUCACAGUGAACAUGAGACACCUGAGAUGAAGACAGACGUCACAGCAUCAACAGCAGAGGUUCGCUUUAAGGUGACCCUGGACAGAUACUAUAUUUCCAACACGGUCUCACGGGGAUUCGUGAAACUGUUACGUAAAUUUUUUGUUUCUUUUUCGUGCGCACCAACACGAUUUCGUCAUGUUUUUCGUGCCGCUCACCACGAAAUGUUUUUCGUGUUGCUCACAACGAAACCCGCUGUGGUAAUCACAGCUGAAAGUGGUUUAUACCAGCGGAUUCAUGACGAUCUAAGCUGUCCAUCGGCGUAUACUGCUUGUGUGAUCGCGUUUGCGGCCGCCGGCCGCCGGACAUUCUUGAAAUUCCUAUGCAAAUUGGUAAGUGUACCACCGAAAAAAAAAAAAAAAAAGUAAGUGUACCACCGGGUUA
This is a long non-coding RNA of Acanthochromis polyacanthus (spiny chromis), 4038 nucleotides long. RefSeq lists it as uncharacterized. The record is from RefSeq and is a predicted model, not a curated record. Lineage: Eukaryota; Metazoa; Chordata; Actinopteri; Pomacentridae. The transcript is spliced from 5 exons.